CCUACGGGGGGCAGCAGUGAGGAAUAUUGGUCAAUGGGCUUACGCCUGAACCAGCCAAGUCGCGUGAGGGAAGACUGCCCUAUGGGUUGUAAACCUCUUUUGUCAGGGAGCAACGCCGGCUACGUGUAGCCGGACUGAGAGUACCUGAAGAAAAAGCAUCGGCUAACUCCGUGCCAGCAGCCGCGGUAAUACGGAGGAUGCGAGCGUUAUCCGGAUUUAUUGGGGUUAAAGGGUGCGUAGGCGGAAUGCCAAGUCAGCGGUAAAAUCGCGGGGCUCAACCUCGCUCCGCCGUUGAAACUGGCGGUCUUGAGUGGGCGAGAAGUAUGCAGAAUGCGUGGUGUAGCGGUGAAAUGCAUAGAUAUCACGCAGAACUCCGAUUGCGAAGGCAGCAUACCGGCGCCCAACUGACGCUGAAGCACGAAAGCGUGGGUAUCGAACAGGAUUAGAUACCCUAGUAGUC
Molecule: ribosomal RNA, 460 nt
Filed under: uncultured bacterium
Lineage: Bacteria
Description: partial 16S ribosomal RNA
Rfam family: Bacterial small subunit ribosomal RNA
Source: RNAcentral